This 425-nucleotide ribosomal RNA is filed under the name uncultured bacterium. Its description in RNAcentral is "partial 16S ribosomal RNA". It matches the Rfam family "Bacterial small subunit ribosomal RNA", at positions 354 to 796 of the family's 1533-position model. The record is from RNAcentral.
GUGGGGAAUCUUGCGCAAUGGGCGAAAGCCUGACGCAGCCAUGCCGCGUGAAUGAUGAAGGUCUUAGGAUUGUAAAAUUCUUUCACCGGGGACGAUAAUGACGGUACCCGGAGAAGAAGCUCCGGCUAACUUCGUGCCAGCAGCCGCGGUAAUACGAAGGGGGCUAGCGUUGCUCGGAAUUACUGGGCGUAAAGGGCGCGUAGGCGGACAGCUUAGUCAGAGGUGAAAGCCCAGGGCUCAACCUUGGAAUUGCCUUUGAUACUGGCUGUCUUGAGUUUGGGAGAGGUGAGUGGAACUCCGAGUGUAGAGGUGAAAUUCGUAGAUAUUCGGAAGAACACCAGUGGCGAAGGCGACUCACUGGCUCGAUACUGACGCUGAGGUGCGAAAGCGUGGGGAGCAAACAGGAUUAGAAACCCCGGUAGUCC